This 494-nucleotide ribosomal RNA is filed under the name uncultured bacterium. Its description in RNAcentral is "bacterial SSU rRNA". It matches the Rfam family "Bacterial small subunit ribosomal RNA", at positions 28 to 517 of the family's 1533-position model. The record is from RNAcentral.
GAUGAACGCUGGCGGCGUGCUUAACACAUGCAAGUCGAACGAAGCACUUUAUUACAAUUUCUUCGGAAUGACGAUUUAGUGACUGAGUGGCGGACGGGUGAGUAACGCGUGGGUAACCUGCCUUAUACAGGGGGAUAACAGUUAGAAAUGACUGCUAAUACCGCAUAAGCGCACAGGAUUGCAUGAUCUGGUGUGAAAAAACUCCGGUGGUAUAAGAUGGACCCGCGUCUGAUUAGCUGGUUGGUGAGGUAACGGCCCACCAAGGCGACGAUCAGUAGCCGACCUGAGAGGGUGACCGGCCACAUUGGGACUGAGACACGGCCCAAAAUCCUACGGGAGGCAGCAGUGGGGAAUAUUGCACAAUGGGGGAAACCCUGAUGCAGCGACGCCGCGUGAGCGAAGAAGUAUUCGGUAUGUAAAAGCUCUAUCAGCAGGGAGAAAAAAUAGAGGUACCUGACUAAGAAGACCCCGGCUAACUACGUAGCCAGCAGCCG